AUGGAGCAGUCAAAAAUGCCAGCUAUGGUAGCUAGAUUCGCAGGUGUAUCUCAUGUUAAACAAUUGGGAACUGCUCCUGCACCAGAUCAGCUCGGUUGCCGUGUCAGCAUCCCAAGCAAAACAACUCUCCUUGAUUCUCAUUCCAAUGCCAAUCCUUGUGUCUUCUCGUCGGUGCAAAAGCUAGACCUUCUUCCAAAGUCACAUUGUUGCCCCAAUGCUGAUUGGACAGUGGAACCGCGUAAUGUUCAAGAUGCCUUUCGGCAGAAAAUAGUCGAACAUGCCAAACUGAAAGUUACAACAAUGCUGGAGCACAACUCUUGCAUAAGAAUUACAAAGUUCAGACUGAUAUUCCUUGCCGGUUGCCCAGUGGAAGGGAGCAGUACUAACGGCGUGCCACAGGUCAGUUUACUGCUUAUCGGCUACUUUUCUUUGUUCCAUGCCGGGGAAUCAAGCAGUUAUUCAUGGGUUGGGAGCCCCACAAUGCUUCACAAGAAACAGGUGCGCGACCUGCCUUUUGCUUUCUUCAGCGACCCUGAGUUGAUGCUCAUCUUGGCUGCUGCUCUCGUUGCCGUUUGUUAUGGCAGUGAUCGGAACAGAAAUCCUGCAGAGCUCAGCACCGGCUACUUUUGGAUCCCAUUGACGCGGAUGGCUCUGGAGCCAAUAAUUCCAGUGACAGCACACAGGUCUCGCCGGAUAUCAGAAGCUCACUGUCUGACAUCUCAAUGUUGUAAAGCCGCCAGUAUCAGGAAAAGGCGGUUCAGGGGCCAUCAGAUUUUGAACAGAAAUGGGAACCAAAAGGAUGGUAGAGGAACAAGAACUGGUGUUGAUGGUAGAGGGCCGGUUUACCCGACGUGUUGUUUUCGGUGGGCCAAAGAUGCCAGUUCUAAGGCCCUGUUCGAAUCCCCUCCGCUCCUCAACUGCAGCUCCCGGAGCGGAGGGAGCGCCAGCACAAUCGCGCGGAGCGGCUCCAACCCAGCUCCUCAUGCGGAGCGGAGUUGA
This 999-nucleotide ribosomal RNA is filed under the name Triticum aestivum (bread wheat). RNAcentral describes it as "partial small subunit ribosomal RNA". Lineage: Eukaryota; Viridiplantae; Streptophyta; Magnoliopsida; Poales; Poaceae. The record is from RNAcentral.